This 430-nucleotide ribosomal RNA is filed under the name bacterium. RNAcentral's name for it is "partial 16S ribosomal RNA". It matches the Rfam family "Bacterial small subunit ribosomal RNA", at positions 355 to 776 of the family's 1533-position model. The record is from RNAcentral.
UGGGGAAUAUUGGACAAUGGGCGCAAGCCUGAUCCAGCCAUGCCGCGUGUGUGAAGAAGGCCUUUUGGUUGUAAAGCACUUUAAGCGAGGAGGAGGCUACUUGGAUUAAUACUCUAGGAUAGUGGACGUUACUCGCAGAAUAAGCACCGGCUAACUCUGUGCCAGCAGCCGCGGUAAUACAGAGGGUGCGAGCGUUAAUCGGAUUUACUGGGCGUAAAGCGUGCGUAGGCGGCUUCUUAAGUCGGAUGUGAAAUCCCUGAGCUUAACUUAGGAAUUGCAUUCGAUACUGGGAAGCUAGAGUAUGGGAGAGGAUGGUAGAAUUCCAGGUGUAGCGGUGAACUGCGUAGAGAUCUGGAGGAAUACCGAUGGCGAAGGCAGCCAUCUGGCCUAAUACUGACGCUGAGGUACGAAAGCAUGGGGAGCAAACAGG